Molecule: long non-coding RNA, 5074 nt
Filed under: Toxoplasma gondii VEG
Lineage: Eukaryota; Apicomplexa; Conoidasida; Eucoccidiorida; Sarcocystidae
Source: RNAcentral
CCAUCGAGAGAGGGCGCAAGAGACGAAAGGAGUUGAGGAGAGAGACGUGAGGCCGAAGUGACGCACACUGGCUCAUGCAUGCACUCUCGCGGUCCUCCCUGAUACAGGACUUUCGAACCGAAGAACAGAGAAAGAAGCGAAAAGCGUACAAGGCCUGGGGAUGCUUCCUCGCCAUGCUAAACUAAAUAGUGCGCGAAUGCAGGCGUCCGGAUUGUUUGUUGCCUGCAUGCAGCUCUGUUUGCUUGCAUGCACUCGUCCUUACCUGCAUGCAGUUGCGAUCCGUUCUUGGGCGGCGCCAAGAGUUGCUUGCUCCUCGCGAAGGAGAACAGAGUCGAAGAGUUCCCCUUCGUUCCGAGCUCGCAGGAGCAGGCUGUGUACGGCGUCGAGGUCAACGUCCUGAGAGCGAAACCAAAGAAAACAUGUUUCAAAGAGUCAUUUUUCUCCUUGGUUUCUGUGUCUCAGCUGGCUGACGGCUCUCUCUUCUCCUUUUCUGCCUUCUCGGUCCUCGCGGAUGGGUCUGCAAACGUCGUCAUUAUUUCCAGCCGUCUACAGUGUGCUUGGUUCUGUCCUGAGAGUCGCGCGUUUUCUCUUUGUUCCCUGUCUAAUUGCUCUUCUCGGUCUCUUCGGUCCUCUGCUCUGCGUUCCCCGCCGUCCUUCUCCUUCUUCUGUGUCACGACGUCUUGUGCUCUGUUCUCGCUCUUGUCGACCAUGUCUGUCUUCCUCUCAUUUGUGCUUGUCCGCGCCUCUCUCUCUCACCUCCUGAAUCCUGUUUGCUUCGCUUUGGAGAGCGUGGACGGCCGCCUCCAGGUUGGCUAGAGCCUGGUGUGUCAACUGCAGCUUCUCUUCUCUUUCUCGGAUCCUCGCGUCCCUCUCGGCCGCCCUCUGCGUGCGUUCUGUCUCCGUCUGUCGGCUCUGCAUACACGCCUCGAGCCUGGGGAGGAGACAGGCAAGAACCUCUGAGGGUGAGGCAGCUUUCAGAGUCGCGCGCAUGCAGAGCGCAGAGCCGCCGGAGUUGCGCGGAGCCUGCGCGCUUGAAGGGGGAGAACCGACCGCCGAAGGUGACGAGACGCGCGACGGCGGAGAGCGUAACGAAGAACAGAGGGGAACAGGGAGCACUGCCUCUCUCAGCUUCGCCUCCAGAGAAAGAUUCGCGCUCUGCGCUUGCUGAAGACGGAGCAAAGACGAGGGAAGACCAACCAAGAAAACGCGAUUCUCACAAACAGGAAAAGCGUCGACAGUCCACCCGACACACUGGAGAACGGUGACAUGCAUGUCGCUUCUGGAUGCUUCAAAACGCCCUGACUGUUCCCUCUCUCUGCAUGCACCUUUGCUGCGAUAUUUGUCAAGAGACACCCGAAACUGGGAAGCAAGUUCUGAGGCGGGCACCAGCAGCAUGAGGCUCUCCUCGUCUGACAGUCGAUCUCCGCUGUCGAGAUCUGAUUCGUUGCAGUUUCCUCGCGCGUCUGGCGUCCGUAGCCGUUCCUUUUUGUCGCUGGACGGGUCGCCGCUCUCCUCGCGAAAAGCCUCGUCGGCUGCUUCUUCAGCCUCCAAAAGGCGUUCGAUGUCAGCGAGUUGCCUCUGCGUCGCCACAGAGGCCUGCGCGAGGAGCGCCUGCUGUUCCUCGUAAGCGUCGAAGCCGCCUGCAGCUUGGACUGCCUGAAAAAGGACAUCCAAACCAAAACGCAGGAAUAGGCAGAGAUCCACUGCAUAGGAAGAACCUCUUCGUAUACCUGGCAUUCAACUCGAGCUAUAUGCCGACACCCAUACGCGUACAAACAUCGUUAUAUAUAUAUAUAUAUGUACAUAUAUAUUAUACGAAGAUAUAAGUACAUAUACGCAUGUUUGAGUGUGGGCAUCGCUGUGUGCCUGUCCACGACUAAACGAGUUUUUAAAGUGGAUGCACGCAGCGAUUUAUCAUGGCGUGAGUUGAGGCUUCAUUGCGCAUGUGGUGAGUUGCGGAAGAAGGACGAAACGCAGCAGCGGACAGAAGGCAUCCGCAAAUCGACAGGGUCCCGAGGCAGGAGCGACGCCAGCUGCGAGACGCGAGUCAGCUGCGAGACGCGAGCCAGCUGCGAGACGCGAGUCAGCUGCGAGACGCGAGUCAGCUGCGAGACGCGAGCCAGCUGCGAGACGCGAGUCAGCUGCGAGACGCGAGCCAGCUGCAUGCACGGUCCAGUGGUGCGUUGAAGACCGUGGCAAAGUGCGAGUCGUGGACGCUCUCUGUGAGCACAAAGCGAGCAACGCAGGACCCAGAUGGAGACGAAGACGAGCGCCUGUCAAAGAGAAACCGAGGGCAGUACCCUGAUCUGAUUCCAGAGGUGGGGAGGCAGUUCGAGAGUCAAGUCGGCGCGGGGCUGGUUGCGAACUUUCUUCUCCUCUUGAAGCUUCAGAGCGACCUCCCGCAACUGGUCGGGCAGCUGGCGCGCGAGAAGAAAAGACGAAACGCCAGAAAGCUCCUCAGACACGCGCUGCUUCAAGUCCCGAACGCCUGCCCGAUAUCUGCAGAUGGCGAAGAAGAGAAGUGACAGGAAAGAAGGACAAGAGACCAGAUCUGCGGGGGAGCGAGCGGCGCGCGGCGAGGCGUUGAAGGCGAGAGCAGAAGAGACACGAAAAACGAGAAGAGAGAGAUACGGCGAGACAGAGAGAGGUGAAUUGAACGCGAGCUCAAAAGCGAGAGGGAGAGCGACGAACCGGACCAACAUCGAGAGACAUCACACCACAGAAUCGAGCGCGAAGCAAAACGAGGUCGGGGGAGGGCAACGCAGCCAAAAACCGACGCAAACAACUCGUUAAAUGGGGACAGCGCUGAGACCCGCAGCUCCAUGAGUAGACUCUGAACGCAUCGAGGACAGACUCCGUUCCCCAAGAGCAUAGAAAAAGGACGCCAGACACAAAGUUACCUCGUGGCGUACUCCUCGCCCCUUAGGCGAACAGACGUCGGAAGAAGCUGACAGAGUUGCGCCGCGGCAUGCGCGUCCACGUCCUGCAAAUCCUGAAUGGCGACCGAAGAAAGCUCGACGCAGCACGCAUGCUCCAGAGGCGUCAAACGCGACGGAUCCGGUACGGCCUCCAGAUACACCUGAAUCCAGAGGCAAGUGCGACAACGAAAGACUGGAAAGUAAAUAAAACAAAGGGCGCCCGGUCGCGCGCUCUCCGCGGUGCCGCGAAGCCAGCAGCGCUAUUUUAUCAGCUCCACGUUCACCGUCUUUGACAUGGUGGAGGGAGUCGGCUCUCUCGCGUGGACUGUCGUUUUCACCCUUUCUAGGCAUUUUUUUUUCGCCUGCGUUCCACUUGAUCCUCUGCGACACUUGGCACUGUGACCCCAACAUCUCAAAGAAACUCCCGAGGCUUUUCUUCUGCCGGCCGCCCGCAAGUUCUCAAACCCCAGCAACACAGCCGAAGCCGCUCGGACGCCAUUUCACUUCCUGGACGCAACUGUCUCCGUGUACAAGCCGAUGGGCGUGGACGCGGCCGCGCAGGCUCCACAGGGCCUGCAGGGCCCGGCGUCAAGACGGUGACGACGAACAGCCGCUUGCCGUUGUGCUCUGCUCACCACGGCGUUGUCGCGUUCCAGUUGCUCGUGUGUCUGGACGAUGUGAGCAAAGAGACCGCUGAGGUUGCAUUUCAGCGAAUGCGCUUCGACGAGUGCAGCAGCUUGCGCAAGAAACUCCCGACAAACGCGAAGGCGCGCUACCAGGCGGCCGUAGCCUUCACCUGCCGAGACAACGCCGAGAGCAGAGAAUCGCUCAAAAGACAAGAGAAAGCCGCCAGGGACAUGUGCGUAGAAAACCCAUGAAACUGUUGAAAGUACCCUAGCAAACGCAAGACGCCACGACGUGCACAGAAUCGAUUGCUGAUCCUGGGUCGCGACUGAACAGCAUGCAGGCCAGCUGCAAGCGAGAUGAAAGCCGACGCAGUAAAAGUGAAAACGCAGAAGACGACAGUGAAAACGGAGAAGAAAAUGUGAAGUCACAGGCGGACCCAGCGCGGGCGACACGACGACAGAUACAGCGGGAGAGAGAAAGAGAGGAAAGGAGAGCGAGAGAGAAUGAAACAAAGGACGGAGAAGACUUUGAGACCCUCACCUUCCAUUUCGACUUGUUCUUGUUCGUACCGAGCGAGCUGAAAGUGAGCCGCGGCGAGGUAGGACAACUCUUGGCUUCUUGAAAGAAAACAGGAACAAGCAACUCUCAAGAAAAAACGCAUGACGGCCGCCUACCACAGGCGGCAGGGGAGAGACCACCGCGGCGGGGGAAUGCAUGCAGAGACCUUUCCACGCGUGAGGCAAGCGAGCAGCAAUGCCAAGAGAAAAAAAGCAGAAGGCGCGGCAAGAACAGAGAGCACACAACGAUGAGCGAGAACAGAGAGGAGUCAAGAUCCGAAGGAGCAAAGACGCCGAAGACAGGACAACUCAUCCACGAACAGAGGUCGUGAGACUGCAGCGCGUUAGGAGGGCGUUCUGUCGAGACAAAGCAGGCACAGAGAAUUGUCGGAUCACGCGGUUCGCAUGCAGAUCCGACCUUCAUUGGUCCUCACUUGAGCCAUGUCGCCAGCACACUGGCUUCUGUUUGUGGGCGAGAGUCUGCAGCGUCUCCACCGGUCGAUGCAGAGAGAGGAGACUGCAGCAGCAAACCUGGGAGAGAGAGAAACAACCGGAAGGAGACGCGCGAGAGAAGAGUGGAAGAGAACAGAGGGGAAGCGACGAAGGCGACAUGUGUAGCAAAGAGACUGAGAGAAAAAGGCUUCCAUCGGAAGUCGAAGGAACGGCCUUUCUCCGCAACGUCCGUGCCUCGUUUUUGCCGUCCUCUGCUCCUUCGGCAUCUCGGCCGAUUACCGCCAUACAGAAACGAUCGCCCAGGAGACGAACGAACUCUUCCACUGGCGUACUAUUAAACAUAUCCCAAUAUAGUCAAGCACUUCGAUACGCAUGCACUGGCGAACCAAUGCAAUCGUUUGUUGCUGCUCGCACACGGCCCGGAACGCAUGCAAAAACGGCGACUCGCGUCCACAUCGAUUCGCACCUACACAGAUGUAAACGAGUUGAAACACAGAAGGGUACUUUCAGAUAUGCGCA